CCUACGGGAGGCAGCAGUGAGGAAGAUUGGUCAAUGGACGCAAGUCUGAACCAGCCAUGCCGCGUGCAGGAAGACGGCUCUAUGAGUUGUAAACUGCUUUUGUACGAGGGUAAACGCAGAUACGCGGAUCUGUCUGAAAGUAGCGUACGAAUAAGGAUCGGCUAACUCCGUGCCAGCAGCCGCGGUACUACGGAUGAUUCAAGCGUUAUCCGGAUUUAUGGGGUUUAAAGGGUGCGUAGGCGGUCGGAUAAGUUAGAGGGGAAAUCCCGAGGCUCAACUUCGGAAUUGCCUCUGAUACUGUUCGGCUAUAGUGUAGUUGCGGUAGUCGGCAUG
This 333-nucleotide ribosomal RNA is filed under the name uncultured bacterium. RNAcentral's name for it is "partial 16S ribosomal RNA". It matches the Rfam family "Bacterial small subunit ribosomal RNA", at positions 338 to 668 of the family's 1533-position model. The record is from RNAcentral.